CAGCCGCCGCGGUAAUACAUAGGGGGCGAGCGUUAUCCGGAAUUAUUGGGCGUAAAGGGUGCGUAGGCGGUUUAUUAAGUCUGACGUGAAAUACCACAGCUUAACUGUGGAGGGUCGUUGGAAACUGGUAAACUUGAGUACAGUAGAGGUAAGUGGAAUUCCAAGUGGAGCGGUGGAAUGCGUAGAUAUUUGGAGGAACACCAGUGGCGAAGGCGGCUUACUGGGCUGGAACUGACGCUGAGGCACGAAAGCGUGGGGAGCAAACAGGAUUAGAUACCCUGGUAGUCCACGCCGUAAACGUUGAGCACUAAGUGUCGGGAAUAAUCUCGGCGCUGCAGUUAACACAAUAAGUGCUCCGCCUGGGGAGUACGGUCGCAAGACUGAAACUCAAAGGAAUUGACGGGGACUCGCACAAGCGGUGGAGCAUGCGGUUUAAUUCGAUGCAACGCGAAGAACCUUACCAGGUCUUGACAUCCCAUUGACCGGCUUAGAGAUAAGCCUUUCCUUCGGGACAAUGGUGACAGGUGGUGCAUGGCC
This 537-nucleotide ribosomal RNA is filed under the name uncultured archaeon. Its description in RNAcentral is "bacterial SSU rRNA". It matches the Rfam family "Bacterial small subunit ribosomal RNA", at positions 509 to 1050 of the family's 1533-position model. The record is from RNAcentral.